CACAUGCAAGUCGAACGGUAACAGGAAGCAGCUUGCUGUUUCGCUGACGAGUGGCGGACGGGUGAGUAAUGUCUGGGAAACUGCCUGAUGGAGGGGGAUAACUACUGGAAACGGUAGCUAAUACCGCAUAACGUCGCAAGACCAAAGAGGGGGACCUUCGGGCCUCUUGCCAUCGGAUGUGCCCAGAUGGGAUUAGCUAGUAGGUGGGGUAACGGCUCACCUAGGCGACGAUCCCUAGCUGGUCUGAGAGGAUGACCAGCCACACUGGAACUGAGACACGGUCCAGACUCCUACGGGAGGCAGCAGUGGGGAAUAUUGCACAAUGGGCGCAAGCCUGAUGCAGCCAUGCCGCGUGUAUGAAGAAGGCCUUCGGGUUGUAAAGUACUUUCAGCGGGGAGGAAGGGAGUAAAGUUAAUACCUUU
RNAcentral lists this ribosomal RNA (422 nucleotides) under Shigella flexneri. RNAcentral describes it as "bacterial SSU rRNA". It matches the Rfam family "Bacterial small subunit ribosomal RNA", at positions 52 to 470 of the family's 1533-position model. Lineage: Bacteria; Pseudomonadati; Pseudomonadota; Gammaproteobacteria; Enterobacterales; Enterobacteriaceae. The record is from RNAcentral.